This is a long non-coding RNA of Callithrix jacchus (white-tufted-ear marmoset), 668 nucleotides long. RefSeq lists it as uncharacterized. NCBI's taxonomy places the organism in Eukaryota, Metazoa, Chordata, Mammalia, Primates, Cebidae. The record is from RefSeq and is a predicted model, not a curated record.
GAAAGUGGCUAGCUUUGUCAAAUGUGAUAGGGAGAUCAAAGAUAACCCAGGAUGGUAAGGAAUGAGUAAGCAUUGAGUCUGGCAAGUAGGUACCUGGGCGUCCUGGCGCAAGAUGCGAGUCUACAUGUCUAGCUUUGCAGGUUUGCCUUGGCAGGGAGCACCUGUUUAUUUGUCAAAAACGUCCUGGCCAGCCUGUCCUCCUAGAGACCCCACAUUAUGCCCCAUGCUUCAGGGUCAGUAGCCAUUUGAUUUGUUCCUUUCAUAGUUGUAUCUUUAUUUCAUUGUAAUAAUAAUACCUGCUGAUCAUAAAGAUAAAUACCAAACAAUACAGAAAGAUAUAAGGCAGAAAAAAUCACUUCUGUUCCCUAUGGUUAAUAGUUUGGGUUUAGGCUUUCGUGUUUUUGUUUGUGUGUGUGAGUAUGUACGUAUGUAUAAGGAAAAUGUUUUCAUAUAUGGAAUCAUUUAAUCAUAUUGUGUAACUUACAAAUUUUUAGCAAUAUAUUGGGAAUAUACUUACAUAAUAGCACCAUCAUACUUUGUUGCCUUAUUUAGGUGCUAGACAAAUUCUCAAAAGAACACCAUAAGACAAUUACUAUUAAUGGUUCCAUUUUAUAAAUAGAGCAGUUGAAUCUUAGAAAAUUUAAGUGACUUAUCUGAUGCCACAAAAC